CUUGCUAUCCUAACAUCAUGUUAUAUUCGUUGUAGCACGCAUUUCAUUUCCACUGUAUAUCACGAUGGUUAAAAACACGCCAAGUUUGUCCCUUAGACAACCGCGAGUGGGAAUUUCAGAAGUAAGUAUUUAAACAUCUAAUAAGUAUAUAGGUAAUAGUAUGGUUUCGAGUGGAAUUUUGGAAAAACAUGCACGUGUGAGUUUUUUAAAGAAGUGAGUUUAAGAUACCCCUGUUUCGGUGUACGGGUACGGGUAGCAUGAUUUUGGUUAGCAAUAUUUUCGUCCAUGCUUGUAUCUUCACUCGCAAUUAAGGUGCACAUUUUCGCAUUAUAUCAUUGUCUAUUGCAAGAAAACAGAAAAAGUAUGAUCGAAUUACAGACAUCAGUAAAAACUAGUAAACAAAGAUGACACUACUCGUACACCGAAACCGGGGUAUCAUAAACUCACUAGACUAUCAAAAUUGCACGAAUCCGAAGGACGAGUGCAAUUUGAAGGCUUUGAAAAACUCACGAGUGUAUGUUUUUUCAAAUUGCACGAGAAACCAUACUAUUACUUAUUAAUAGUAUACAUGAAAAAAUUACGCAGCCACGUGCGUAAGUCACAUUUAGAAAUUAAGAAACUAAGAAAAUUAAGAAAUUUGAAAAAUAAAAAUUAAGAAAAUUUAGAAAAUUUAAAAAAUUUGCACUGCAUUUCGUUUUUUUGCACUGUAUUUCAUUUUUUGGCACUGUAUUUCGAAAAAAAUUGCACUGCUCUUAGCCAAUCAGAAUUGAGAAUUUUGUUUCAUGUCUAUUAUUAGAUAUCUAGUUGAAUUUAAGUCGAUUACAAACGAGCAAGUCUUCUAUGAAAAGUUUUUGUAUGACACGUUUUAUUUGCUCUUCUGCAUGGGUAACUUUGUCAUGGGUAAUUUUUUUUGCUAUGACAAGUACUAACACUUGUUCGAAAGCAUUAUGUUAGCUUUUGAACAAGUAGAAAAAAAUUGUCAGGAUACAAAUAUGGUUCGUUUGUGCGGGUCUACAAAGAAAUUUGGCAAACAUUAAGCAAGCGACGUUCUUGUUGACGUCAGAUUGCCGAAGGGGGACUGCAUGGAUUAAAAACUGUAUUCUUAUCAGUUUGUGGCAAUCUAACCAACCCAGGUUUAAUCUUAUUUAGGCAAGGCAUUUAUACUCAGUCAAAAGGAAAGCAAGUUUUGCUUGUUUCGAAUUGAAACUAUAUAUACACUGCAAUUGCUUGCAGUUUUUAUACAUGCAGUUACUCUACAGGGUGUAUCAAAAAAAGCGCAACCUCGGAAUUUCCCAAGAAAUCGACAUUGUUUUAAAGGCAAAAGAUUUUAGGCGCCUGGGAAUUUAAAAUAGCAUAACUGUCAAAAUUACUGCACACGCGAGUGCAUAAAGCAAAAUUUAUGCAUAUUUAUUUAAUGCACAACAACAGUAAUAUGAUCUAUUAGGCCCGUUUCAUACGCCGUACUUCACAUGUGCCGAAUACAUUAAAGACAAUAGAUAAUGAGCUGAAAUGCCUCAUUAUCUAUUGUUUUUAAUGUAUUCGGCACAUGUGAAGUACGGCGUAUGAAACGGGCCCUUAGCAAUUCGAUUUCAAUUCCCAGGGGCCUAAAAUCUUUUAUGCUUAAGAAUUGCAAAGUGAUUUCUUAGGAAAUUCCGACGUUGCGUUUUUUUUUAUACACCCUGUAUAUAUACUCCAGUUUUUAAAGUUUAAGAUUUAAAACAAUUUUAUUCUUUUUUUCUCCAGGUAUGGUAGAUAGCACUGUUAAUCGGUGGUGGAUUGUGUAUUUAUACCAGUUAUAAUGCCUUACAGUAUAUACAUAACUUUUAUUUGUGUAAGGUAGAUUCCUAUUCGUUAUGUUUUGUUAUUCCAUAACUGUUUAAGGCCUAGCUGUUUCAAACGUCGCGCUUCUCAGGUGCCGAACGCAUUAGAAACAAUAGAUCAUUAGGCAUUUCAGCCGAUUAUCUAUUGUUUUUAAUGCGUUCGGCACAUGAGAAGCGCGACGUUUGAAACAGGCCUAAUAUAAGUAAGUAAGUAAGUAAGUAAAUAAAUAAAUGUUUUGAAUAUUGGUCGUUUAACUGGAGUAUUGACCUUUUGUUUUUCUAUCUGUCAUAUAUACGACCGAGAGAGUAGAAUAACUGUUAUAUUAUAUAGACAACUACUGCAUUUACAGACUCUUCAGUAUAUGGCAAUAUUUUGACAGUUAGUUUGGGAAUCCACAAAAUAGUUUUCAACACUCAUUUUCUAAAUUGAUACUUCAAACAUUGC
This is a non-coding RNA of Paramuricea clavata, 2265 nucleotides long. The record is from the annotation of a GenBank genome assembly. Lineage: Eukaryota; Metazoa; Cnidaria; Anthozoa; Malacalcyonacea; Plexauridae.